AGAGUUUGAUCCUGGCUCAGGAUGAACGCUAGCUACAGGGCUUAACACAUGCAAGUCGAGGGGCAGCAUUUUAGUUUGCUUGCAAACUGAAGAUGGCGACCGGCGCACGGGUGAGUAACACGUAUCCAACCUGCCGAUAACUCCGGGAUAGCCUUUCGAAAGAAAGAUUAAUACCGGAUAGUAUACGAAUAUCGCAUGAUAUUUUUAUUAAAGAAUUUCGGUUAUCGAUGGGGAUGCGUUCCAUUAGUUUGUUGGCGGGGUAACGGCCCACCAAGACUACGAUGGAUAGGGGUUCUGAGAGGAAGGUCCCCCACAUUGGAACUGAGACACGGUCCAAACUCCUACGGGAGGCAGCAGUGAGGAAUAUUGGUCAAUGGGCGCGAGCCUGAACCAGCCAAGUAGCGUGAAGGAUGAAGGCUCUAUGGGUCGUAAACUUCUUUUAUAUGGGAAUAAAGUUUUCCACGUGUGGAAUUUUGUAUGUACCAUAUGAAUAAGGAUCGGCUAACUCCGUGCCAGCAGCCGCGGUAAUACGGAGGAUCCGAGCGUUAUCCGGAUUUAUUGGGUUUAAAGGGAGCGUAGGAGGAUUGUUAAGUCAGUUGUGAAAGUUUGCGGCUCAACCGUAAAAUUGCAGUUGAUACUGG
This 641-nucleotide ribosomal RNA is filed under the name uncultured Bacteroidota bacterium. RNAcentral describes it as "bacterial SSU rRNA". It matches the Rfam family "Bacterial small subunit ribosomal RNA", at positions 8 to 636 of the family's 1533-position model. Lineage: Bacteria; Pseudomonadati; Bacteroidota. The record is from RNAcentral.